GCGGACGGGUGAGUAACACGUGGGUAACCUGCCUGUAAGACUGGGAUAACUCCGGGAAACCGGAGCUAAUACCGGAUAGUUCCUUGAACCGCAUGGUUCAAGGAUGAAAGACGGUUUCGGCUGUCACUUACAGAUGGACCCGCGGCGCAUUAGCUAGUUGGUGGGGUAAUGGCUCACCAAGGCGACGAUGCGUAGCCGACCUGAGAGGGUGAUCGGCCACACUGGGACUGAGACACGGCCCAGACUCCUACGGGAGGCAGCAGUAGGGAAUCUUCCGCAAUGGACGAAAGUCUGACGGAGCAACGCCGCGUGAGUGAUGAAGGUUUUCGGAUCGUAAAGCUCUGUUGUUAGGGAAGAACAAGUGCGAGAGUAACUGCUCGCACCUUGACGGUACCUAACCAGAAAGCCACGGCUAACUACGUGCCAGCAGCCGCGGUAAUACGUAGGUGGCAAGCGUUGUCCGGAAUUAUUGGGCGUAAAGGGCUCGCAGGCGGUUUCUUAAGUCUGAUGUGAAAGCCCCCGGCUCAACCGGGGAGGGUCAUUGGAAA
RNAcentral lists this ribosomal RNA (548 nucleotides) under Bacillus sp. CH332b_11D. Its description in RNAcentral is "bacterial SSU rRNA". It matches the Rfam family "Bacterial small subunit ribosomal RNA", at positions 98 to 632 of the family's 1533-position model. Lineage: Bacteria; Bacillati; Bacillota; Bacilli; Caryophanales; Bacillaceae. The record is from RNAcentral.